GAUGAACGCUGGCGGCGUGCCUAAUACAUGCCAGUCGAGCGAACAGACGAGGAGCUUGCUCCUCUGACGUUAGCGGCGGACGGGUGAGUAACACGUGGAUAACCUACCUAUAAGACUGGGAUAACUUCGGGAAACCGGAGCUAAUACCGGAUAAUAUAUUGAACCGCAUGGUUCAAUAGUGAAAGACGGUUUUGCUGUCACUUAUAGAUGGAUCCGCGCCGCAUUAGCUAGUUGGUAAGGUAACGGCUUACCAAGGCAACGAUGCGUAGCCGACCUGAGAGGGUGAUCGGCCACACUGGAACUGAGAGCCGGUCCAGACUCCUACGGGAGGCAGCAGUAGGGAAUCUUCCGCAAGGGGGGAAAGCCUGACGGAGCAACGCCGCGUGAGGGAUGAAGGUCUUCGGAUCGUAAAACUCUUUUAUUAGGGAAGAACAAAUGUGUAAGUAACUAUGCACGUCUUGACGGUACCUAAUCAGAACGCCACGGCUAACUACG
RNAcentral lists this ribosomal RNA (495 nucleotides) under uncultured bacterium. RNAcentral describes it as "partial 16S ribosomal RNA". It matches the Rfam family "Bacterial small subunit ribosomal RNA", at positions 28 to 505 of the family's 1533-position model. The record is from RNAcentral.